GGUCCCGUAGCUCAGCUGGUUGGAGCGCCGGUCUUAUAAGCCGGAGGUCUUGAGUUCAACGGCCGCGUAAUCGGUCGGCGCUUAGGGCGAUUGCACCUUCGGUGCAGUCACCUGUCCGCUGCUGAUUCGGCAUGAAUAAAUCUCAACGGGGCCA
Molecule: transfer RNA, 154 nt
Filed under: archaeon
Lineage: Archaea
Also listed under: 1 other name
Description: tRNA-Ile
Rfam family: tRNA (bases 1-65)
Source: RNAcentral